GUGAGAAUCCCGUAUGUGACCGGUGAUCAACCCCAUGUGAAACUCCUUCGACGAGUCGAGUUGUUUGGGAAUGCAGCUCAAAAUGGGUGGUAUAUUUCAUCUAAAGCUAAAUACCGGCCAGAGACCGAUAGCGCACAAGUAGAGUGAUCGAAAGAUGAAAAGCACUUUGGAAAGAGAGUCAAACAGUACGUGAAAUUGUUGAAAGGGAAGCGCUCGCAACCAGACCUGCCCGCGGCCGAUCAACCGUCCUUCUGGGCGGUGCACUCGACCGCGAUCAGGCCAGCAUCGGUUCGGGCGGCCGGAUAAAGGCCCUGGGAACGUGGCUCCUCUCGGGGAGUGUUAUAGCCUAGGGUGCAAUGCGGCCAGCCUGGACCGAGGACCGCGCUUCGGCUAGGAUGCUGGCGUAAUGGUUGUGAGCGGCCCGUCUUGAAACACGGACCAAGGAGUCUAACAUCUAUGCGAGUGUUUGGGUGUCAAACCCAUGCGCGUAAUGAAAGUGAACGGAGGUGGGAACCCGUACGGGCGCACCAUCGACCGAUCCAGAUGUCUUCGGAUGGAUUUGAGUACGAGCAUAGCUGUUGGGACCCGAAAGAUGGUGAACUAUGCCAGAAUAGGGUGAAGCCAGAGGAAACUCUGGUGGAGGCUCGCAGCGGUUCUGACGUGCAAAUCGAUCGUCAAAUUUUGGCAUAGGGGCGAAAGACUAAUCGAACCAUU
This 714-nucleotide ribosomal RNA is filed under the name Caloplaca micromontana. Its description in RNAcentral is "LSU rRNA". It matches the Rfam family "Eukaryotic large subunit ribosomal RNA", at positions 212 to 944 of the family's 3401-position model. Lineage: Eukaryota; Fungi; Ascomycota; Lecanoromycetes; Teloschistales; Teloschistaceae. The record is from RNAcentral.